Manis pentadactyla (Chinese pangolin) is the source of this 2810-nucleotide RNA transcript. It is a transcript of the gene named cyclin H, with no coding region annotated. The transcript has 10 exons. NCBI's taxonomy places the organism in Eukaryota, Metazoa, Chordata, Mammalia, Pholidota, Manidae. The record is from RefSeq and is a predicted model, not a curated record.
GCGCGCCGGACUGAUACUCUCAGCUGUCGCGGGAUCUUGGUGAAGUUUUAAGUGUUUUACGCCACAGAUCGUGGAGUUUGGGGUCGUUUUUCUCCAGGUUCCGUGGGUCUGGUUUUGGACUUCACGAUGUACCACAACAGUAGCCAGAAGCGGCAUUGGACGUUCUCAAGUGAGGAGCAGCUGGCACGACUGCGGGCCGACGCCAACCGUAAAUUCAAAUGCAAAGCGGUGGCGAACGGGAAGCUAAAGGUUCUUCCAAAUGAUCCAAUCUUUCUGGAGCCUCAUGAAGAAAUGAUGCUGUGCAAAUACUAUGAGAAAAGACUGUUGGAAUUCUGUUCGGUGUUUAAGCCAGCAAUGCCAAGGUCUGUUGUGGGUACAGCUUGUAUGUAUUUCAAGCGUUUUUAUCUUAAUAACUCAGUAAUGGAAUAUCCCCCCCGGAUAAUAAUGCUCACUUGUGCAUUUUUGGCCUGCAAAGUAGAUGAAUUCAAUGUGUCUAGUCCACAGUUUGUUGGAAAUCUACGGGAGAGCCCUCUUGGACAGGAGAAGGCACUUGAACAGAUUUUGGAAUAUGAAUUACUUCUUAUACAGCAACUUAAUUUCCACCUUAUUGUCCACAAUCCUUAUAGGCCAUUUGAGGGCUUUCUCAUUGAUUUAAAGACUCGCUAUCCCAUGUUGGAGAAUCCAGAGAUUUUGAGGAAAACAGCUGAUGACUUUCUUAAUAGAAUUGCAUUGACAGAUGCUUACCUUUUAUACACACCUUCCCAAAUAGCCUUGACUGCCAUUUUAUCCAGUGCAUCCAGAGCAGAAAUUACUAUGGAAAGUUAUUUAACAGAAAGUCUGAUGCUGAAAGAGAACCGAACUUGCUUGUCACAGUUACUAGAGACAAUGAAAAGUAUGAGAAACUUGGUAAAAAAAUAUGAACCACCAAGAUCUGAAGAAGUUGCUGUUCUAAAACAGAAGUUGGAGAGAUGUCACUCUGCUGAGCUUGCCCUUAACAUAAUCACAAAAAAGAGGAAAGGCUAUGAAGAUGAUGAUUAUGUCUCAAAGAAAGCGAAACAUGAGGAGGUAUGUUUUCCAAAGGAAGAAUGGACUGACGAUGACCUGGUAGAUUCUCUAUAACCGAUGGAAACUGAUUUGUCAAUGCUGACUUAACCAACGGAAGGAUGAAGUGUCACUAAACUUUGGCAUUAGAGCAAGGUCCACAUUUCUCUGAAAAAUUUCCUACCCAGCCCUUUAAAAAAAAGUUUUAGAGAUUUUAUUUCAUCAUUGACCAGCUAAUAAUUACUGCAAGGCCUAAAAAGGUAAAUAACAAGUUUCCUAUUCUAGCUUAAAAGAUAAACAUAUUGUCAAGAUAUAAAAAGAGGAUGUCUUUACAUUUGUGGGUUUUUGUUUUUUUUUAAUAACAAGAGUGAGGAGCAUUUCAGCUUGGGAAAUAGCCAGAAGGUCAGUAUGGCUGAAGACUGAGAUGUGAUUUAUGGGAGAGCCAACUUGCCCAGCAGUGGAAUUUGGACCCUUUUGCAUAUUACUGACAUGCUUUUAGAGAUGUCACAAGUCCAUAUCCUUCUGGUCUACUAACGCCAAGGAAGGCGACCAAAUAGGAUACUACUGUGGUAGUCCAGCUAAAAGGCAGGAGGGACGGAUAAGAGAGGAAAGUAAGAGGAUACAAAAGGAUACAGACAAGAAGGGAAAAAAUAGAAUCGAGUUGACAUCAAGGAAAAGGAGGUGGUGUUGAAUGUUUUGUUACGAUUAUUCAACUGUGAUGGCACCCAUGUCUGGUAUAGCUGCCUCCACAGGAAUACAGCAAAGUUUGGAAACCCUCAUUAUUUUUGUGUUUUUUUUCGUAUAUUUUAAACAGCAGUGGGAGACAGUAAAGUGUUGCUCUCAGAAUCUAGGCCUUUAGAAAUUUUUUUCUCAUGGGAAAUGCUUUUCUGCCACAUUUUGUAUGACUUCUCUCUGCUGCACAAUUAUGGUCUUUAAAAAAAGACCAUUAGCUAAAAAAUAUGACUUGAAGAAAUCUUCUCCCUGGGCCUUGCUCUGGUUCUAAAUUUGAACUGCCCUUUAUAAAAGAGGAAGAAAAUAAUGAAAUUAAAUGCUUAGCUGUAUUUAGACAUCAGUAAUUUUCAAGAUAUCCCUUUGUUUUAUUUUAACUUAACUCUUGUGAAUACUUCACAAAAAUACAUAUACAGAAGCAAAUAAAACUAUACAUAACAAACUAAAUAUCCAGCAGAUACAAGUAGUCAGAAGUUCAAAGAUGGAUAGCUGUUAAGAGGCUGCUGAUGAGGUUGUUUUUGAAUAAUUAAAAAAGUUCAACGUGGAAUAAAAGCAUUCUAGGGUUUUUUUCCUUAAAAAAACAUGUAAAAGAAAUUGGUAAUCUAUAAAAUGGAUGAAUGGGUAACUAACCAGUACAACGACCAAUAAUAUUUAUUGAAUUCAAACUAUUUACUGUUGUAAACAUUUAACAGAAGCAUUAUGAAAUCUAAAUACAGUCUUUGAUAAUUCCAACAAAAUAAGUGGUAUGUUUAAAAAAUAAAGCUGAUGAGCAAUAGAUCCAUUCUGUAUAUUUUCUUUCAACAAGUUCCAGCAAGAGAAAUAGCACGGUAUUUUUAAAAAGUAUACAGCAAAGAUUGUUCCCGUUAUAAUGGCAAACUCUGGAAACUGUAAAUACAAAUAGGCAUUGAACAGUCAAUCGGUCAUAUUCCUAAUCAGGAAGGAGUUAUAGAACAGUCUGCAAUCCAGUUGUUUUAUGCUCAGUUGUCAAUAGAGAAUGCUUUUUCUUGUCAGUUGGGUUUAGUUUUUCCUUUCCAAGAGAC